AGCGAACGCUGGCGGCAGGCCUAACACAUGCAAGUCGAACGAACCUUUCGGGGUUAGUGGCGGACGGGUGAGUAACACGUGGGAACGUGCCUUUAGGCUCGGAAUAACUCAGGGAAACUUGUGCUAAUACCGAAUGUGCCCUUCGGGGGAAAGAUUAAUCGCCUUUAGAGCGGCCCGCGUCUGAUUAGCUAGUUGGUCGAGGUAAUGGCUCACCAAGGCGACGAUCAGUAGCUGGUCUGAGAGGAUGAUCAGCCACAUUGGGACUGAGACACGGCCCAAACUCCUACGGGAGGCAGCAGUGGGGAAUCUUGCGCAAUGGGCGAAAGCCUGACGCAGCCAUGCCGCGUGAAUGAUGAAGGUCUUAGGAUUGUAAAAUUCUUUCACCGGGGACGAUAAUGACGGUACCCGGAGAAGAAGCCCCGGCUAACUUCGUG
This 434-nucleotide ribosomal RNA is filed under the name uncultured bacterium. RNAcentral describes it as "partial 16S ribosomal RNA". It matches the Rfam family "Bacterial small subunit ribosomal RNA", at positions 29 to 507 of the family's 1533-position model. The record is from RNAcentral.